CGGGUUGUUGCUGGCCCCCAAACGGGGCAUGUGCACGCUCUGUUUACACAUCCACUCACACCUGUGCACCCUCUGUAGUUCUGUGGAUCGGGAGACGCCGUCUUCCUUCCGUAGCUCUACGUUUUUACACACACACCGUAGCGAUGUCUCAUGGAAUGUUUUUCGCGUUUAACGCAAUACAAUACAACUUUCAGCAACGGAUCUCUUGGCUCUCGCAUCGAUGAAGAACGCAGCGAAAUGCGAUAAGUAAUGUGAAUUGCAGAAUUCAGUGAAUCAUCGAAUCUUUGAACGCACCUUGCGCCCCUUGGUUAUUCCUCGGGGCAUGCCUGUUUGAGUAUCAUGAACACCUCAACUCUCAUGGUCUUCCAUGACGAGCUUGGACUUUGGGGGUUUGCUGGCCCUGUGGCCGGCUCCUCUCAAACAAAUCAGCUUGCCAGUGUUUGGCGGCGUCACGGGUGUGAUAACUAUCUACGCUCGCGGUCGUCUGCCAGGUAACCCUCAGCGAUGAAGGUUCAUUGGGGCUCAUAAACGUCUCUCCCCAGCGAGGACUACUUUUUAACGUUCGAUCUCAAAUCAGGUAGGACUACCCGCUGAACUUAAGCAUAUCAAUA
Molecule: ribosomal RNA, 611 nt
Filed under: uncultured fungus
Lineage: Eukaryota; Fungi
Description: eukaryotic LSU rRNA
Rfam family: 5.8S ribosomal RNA (bases 186-340)
Source: RNAcentral